RNAcentral lists this ribosomal RNA (253 nucleotides) under uncultured bacterium. RNAcentral describes it as "partial 16S ribosomal RNA". It matches the Rfam family "Bacterial small subunit ribosomal RNA", at positions 524 to 776 of the family's 1533-position model. The record is from RNAcentral.
UACGUAGGUGGCAAGCGUUGUCCGGAUUUACUGGGCGUAAAGAGCGCGCAGGCGGUCGACCAAGUCGCGUGUGAAAGCCCCCGGCUCAACUGGGGAGGGUCACGCGAUACUGAUCGACUCGAAGGCAGGAGAGGGUAGUGGAAUUCCCGGUGUAGUGGUGAAAUGCGUAGAUAUCGGGAGGAACACCAGUGGCGAAGGCGACUACCUGGCCUGUUCUUGACGCUGAGGCGCGAAAGCUGGGGGAGCAAACGGG